Molecule: ribosomal RNA, 277 nt
Filed under: uncultured bacterium
Lineage: Bacteria
Description: partial 16S ribosomal RNA
Rfam family: Bacterial small subunit ribosomal RNA
Source: RNAcentral
GACGAACGCUGGCGGUGUGCCUCACACAUGCAAGUCGAACGGGGUAGCAAUACCCAGUGGCGGACGGGUGAGUAACACGUGGGAAUCUGCCUUUGAGUGGGGGACAACUGGCCGAAAGGCUAGCUAAUACCCCAUACGCCGCAAGGUAAAAGGAGCAAUCCGCUCGAAGAUGAGCCCGCGUCCGAUUAGCUAGUUGGUAGGGUAAAAGCCUACCAAGGCUUCGAUCGGUAGCUGGUCUGAGAGGAUGAUCAGCCACAAUGGGACUGAGACACGGCCC